CCGACGGUGCCUGCCCCGCGGCGCCCCCGGAGCCGGGCCCCCCCGCCGACGGCCGCCCCUCGCGCCCGCAGGCCCUGCGCAAGUACUCGCGCCACUACGGCCCCGACGCGCAGCCCCUUGCCGCCUGCACCGUUGUGGCUCCGCCCGGCGCCCAGGCCGCGGCCCCCGUGAGCGCCGGCGCCCUGCCCGCCAGGACCGCGGAGCUGCCCGCCGACCCCUUCGCCCUAGCGCCCUUCCCUGCGAGGUCGGGCCGCCAGAGGCCCUAGGGGCGCUGCGGAGCCCCGACCUCCAGGCUGGCCCCCCGGAACACGCGGGGAGCCCCGACCUCGCUGCUGACCCCCCAGAAGGGAUAGGGUCCCCCGAGCCCCGACCUCCGACCUCGCAGCUGACCCUUACAGCUGACCCCCAAGAAGAGAGGGGGCCCCCUGAGCCCCGACUUUGCAGCUGACUCCCAGGAGACGCGGGGUCCCCUGAGCCUCGACCCUCGCAGCUGACCCCCCAGAGUAGACGGGGUCCCCGAGCCCUGAUCUCGCAGCUGACCCCCAGGAGACACAGGGUCCCCGAGCCGUGACCUCGCAGCUGACCCUGGAACAUGUGGGGAGCCCUAACCUUGCAGCUGACCCCCCAGAAGAGAGAGGGUCCCUGAGCUCCGACCUCGCAGCUGACCCCCAGGAGACGUGGGGUCCCCUGAGCCUCGAACCUUGCAGCUGACCCCCCAGAAGAGACGGGGUCCCUGAGCCCCGGCCUCACAACUGACCCUCGCAGCUGACCCCCCAGAAGAGACGGCGUCCCCGAGCCCCGACCUCACAGCUGACCCUCACAGCUGACCCCCCAGAAGAGGCGGGGCGGCCGAGCAGCCUCCGGUUCCACGCGGCCAGUGACCCCAGUGAUAGUGACACUCAGUGGAACCCCCGUAAGUUAUGCUCAUUUCCCUUGUGGAUGCGGAUUUCGGACCUCCGGGCACCUCGCCUCCUCCUGCGCCCAGAACUCUGCUCUCUCCGCCCCCCAACUGUUGAAGUCCAGGAAAGCGUCCCCCCCAACCCCAAAGGGGCCAGGCUCCCCCAGGUUCUGGUCCUGCGGGUCCCCGGUGACUGUGGCCCAAGGACUCAAGGUCCACCCUUGAGUGGUGAAGGGGACGUGGCCGGAGGAGGUGCAAGGGGCCCCUGCAAACCCAGGGCCGCGGGUCCUGCCCACACCAGUCGUUCCUGUAAAACCAGCAGCCCCACCGGGAGCCCCGGGAGCGCGUGGCCCUGCGAGCCAGGCUGGCCUCACACAACAUUAGAAAAGAGCACCCUGUGGCGGCUCUAACCCCUGGGCACGUGGUUUCUGCGAUAACGUACCUAGACCCUCAGGCCUGAGCACGCCACCUGCCACCUGCCACCUGCCACCGUGGGAUGCGGCUCGAGACUCGGCUCCAGACGAGAUCGGCUUGUGGGUGCUUGCCCAUUCCUUGCCCCCUUUCUCCGCCGCCCCUUGAGGAAAAAUCUGAGACCCGUAAAUCAGUUGGGAGAAGAGUAAGGAGCCGAGUCCGCGAUCCCUGCAAACGUUCUGAUCCCCCAUCCUCUGGAGACGUCCAGGUAGGCCAGGUGGGCGCCUGGCUUGUGUGUUUGCGAGGUCUUCUAUUCCGGGCGAGAUCUGGCCGCCCGGCUGCUUCCGCAGCCUUCGUUAUUAGUGCCUUAAGGUGAGACUCCGGUGUCUCCACGGGAACAUCUCUGCUGACGAAGUUCAACCUCGUGGGAGGAGCUGCUGCACCGUGUUUCAGCCUGAAAGCUCCCUGUGACUUGUCGUUGACGUCAGCGAUGUCUCCAGUCGCUGCAGGAGUCGGGAGAGUUGCUCACCCAACCUGGUUAAGGAUUCAAGAAUUGGAAAUUCGUCCAAGAAUCAAGCCAGAAUGCCAGACUUGAUCGCAGUUGAUGAGGGGUCAUACUCUUUCAAUCGGUGGCAUCUUAGGGGUAGGACAUGAACAGCAACUUCACAAGACUUUUUCUAGUUCGGCCUCCGCCUAUUUCAAAUGUCCAGGUUAAAAGACAAACUUAAAUAAUCGGCACUGGAUCAGGGCUCGCAGCAAUGGUCUCCCAAGUGAGGUUCCGACCACGACAGUCUUUCCCUCUGGGGAAUGUUAGUUAAAUGUUCCUUCGCAGAGGUUGCUUUUCUCCCGGUGAUUAUUUCUAAUUAUUUUGUGUAACAGGGGAUGCAAAAAUCAUCUCUCCAGUUGGAUAAAUAGUCUGGGCUCAUGCGUAUGGAACUUUGCACCCCACACUCUAACCUUGGUCGUUAUCAUGUAAAGCCCCCCAAGGCAGGCGCUGAGAGGAUAGGAGCAUUCGGGGAGAGUUCUUACCCCAAGACAGAAGCUCUUCAAGGGGAAGGCCAUUCUCACUCACUCCUCCAAAAAUUCAGGGUUGCCUCUGUAACAGCCCUGCAAAAGGUCUUUCCUUCGGUUAUUUAAUUGCUUCUUCCUAAUCAAGUAUCCAUUUUAGCUCUCCAGGUAAAAUCAUAAAAUCGUGGUGAUUUUAA
Molecule: long non-coding RNA, 2514 nt
Organism: Nyctereutes procyonoides (raccoon dog)
Lineage: Eukaryota; Metazoa; Chordata; Mammalia; Carnivora; Canidae
Exons: 2
Source: RefSeq, a predicted model, not a curated record